RNAcentral lists this transfer RNA (67 nucleotides) under Cyrtodactylus yathepyanensis. RNAcentral describes it as "tRNA-Trp". Lineage: Eukaryota; Metazoa; Chordata; Lepidosauria; Squamata; Gekkonidae. The record is from RNAcentral.
AAGUUUAGGUUAAACAAACCAAGAGCCUUCAAAGCCCUAAACACGAGCACUCACCCUCAUAACUUCU